RNAcentral lists this long non-coding RNA (615 nucleotides) under Felis catus (domestic cat). RNAcentral describes it as "lncRNA (ENSFCAG00000043496.2)". Lineage: Eukaryota; Metazoa; Chordata; Mammalia; Carnivora; Felidae. The record is from RNAcentral.
CCCCGCCCCGCGCCGGGCUAGUGGCGCCAGGUCCCUCCUGGAGCGGCUCCAGCCGCACAGCCGCCGCCGCUCGGGUUCGUCCUCCGGCAGCUGAUGUCCAGCCGGGUGCUCGGGCGGUACGCAGUGGCACACAGCCACAGGAUGUCAGCCGAACGCACACCUCGAAGGUUGGCCUUCACAGAUGCUGCUUACAUGCUGAGGAUUUCUUUUUAUUUCCCUAGAAUGCUCCUCUUUGGACAAUCAUACUUUAUGCACCCUAUCCAGGACAGCGAUCUUCGGUCUAGGGUACAUAUUCCCUGAAGGUAUGUGAAGACUUUUAAGGUGUUUACAAGUAUGGACAGCUUUGAAGAUCCUCCAUUUUCAUAUCUAUUCUUUCCUAAAAGUGAAAUAUUUCUUUUUUAAAAUUUUUUUAACGUUUAUUUAUUAUUGAGAGACACAGAGAGACAGAGUGCGAGCAAAGGAGGGGCAGAGAGAGAGGGAGACACAGAAUCCGAAGCAGGCUCCAGGCUCAGAGCUGUCAGCACAGAGCCUGACGCGGGGCUUGAACUCACAAACUGCGAAUUCAUGACCUGAGCCGAAGUCGGACGCUUAACCGACUGAGCCACCCAGGCACCC